This 304-nucleotide ribosomal RNA is filed under the name Gymnetron melanarium. RNAcentral describes it as "partial 16S ribosomal RNA". The record is from RNAcentral. Lineage: Eukaryota; Metazoa; Arthropoda; Insecta; Coleoptera; Curculionidae.
AAGGUAGCAUAAUCAUUAGUUUUUUAAUUGAAAGCUGGAAUGAAAGGUUGGAUGAGAAAAUAUCUGUCUCUAUUUAAAUUUAUUAGAAUUUUAUUUUUAAGUUAAAAAGCUUAAAUAUUUAUUGAAGACGAGAAGACCCUAUAGAGUUUUAUAAAAUAUUUUUAUUGUAUAUUUUAGUAUUAUAAAAAUUAAUAAAAAUUUUUAUUUGGUUGGGGUGAUUGAAAAAUUUAUAUAACUUUUUUUUAAUUUAAACAUUAAUUUAUGAUUAAUUGAUCCUUUUAUAAAGAUUAUAAGAUUAAAUUAC